RNAcentral lists this transfer RNA (84 nucleotides) under Cucumis melo (muskmelon). It matches the Rfam family "tRNA". From Rfam's summary of the family: Transfer RNA (tRNA) molecules are approximately 80 nucleotides in length. Lineage: Eukaryota; Viridiplantae; Streptophyta; Magnoliopsida; Cucurbitales; Cucurbitaceae. The record is from Rfam by way of RNAcentral.
GUCAGGAUGGCCGAGUGGUCUAAGGCGCCAGACUCAAGUUCUGGUCUUCGAGAGAGGGCGUGGGUUCAAAUCCCACUUCUGAUA